This 462-nucleotide ribosomal RNA is filed under the name uncultured bacterium. RNAcentral's name for it is "partial 16S ribosomal RNA". It matches the Rfam family "Bacterial small subunit ribosomal RNA", at positions 28 to 507 of the family's 1533-position model. The record is from RNAcentral.
GACGAACGCUGGCGGCGUGCUUAACACAUGCAAGUCGAACGGAAAGGCCCUUCGUGGUCCUCGAGUGGCGAACGGGUGAGUAACACGUGGGUGAUCUGCCCUGCACUUUGGGAUAAGCAUGGGAAACUGGGUCUAAUAACGAAUAGGACCACGCGCUUCACAGCGUGUGGUGGAAAGCUUUUGCGGUGUGGGAUGGGCCCGCGGCCUAUCAGCUUGUUGGUGGGGUAAUGGCCUACCAAGGCGACGACGGGUAGCCGGCCUGAGAGGGUGACCGGCCACACUGGGACUGAGAUACGGCCCAGACUCCUACGGGAGGCAGCAGUGGGGAAUAUUGCACAAUGGGCGCAAGCCUGAUGCAGCGACGCCGCGUGAGGGAUGACGGCCUUCGGGUUGUAAACCUCUUUCAAUAGGGACGAAGCGCAAGUGACGGUACCUAUAGAAGAAGCACCGGCCAACUACGUG